This is a non-coding RNA of Vicia faba (fava bean), 196 nucleotides long. The record is from the annotation of a GenBank genome assembly. Lineage: Eukaryota; Viridiplantae; Streptophyta; Magnoliopsida; Fabales; Fabaceae.
AUGAAUCACUCUCCAUCUUCACCUUCAUCUUCCAAAACACUCACAGAAAAAAACUCUCCCCUGCUCUCUUCUUCUGAAAUCGCCAUCACCAUGCUUCAUCACAUAUUGCCUCUUCGUCUCAUUUAUCUGAAAUUCAUCCUCAUCGCGACUUCACAUACGUCGCACACACCUUCAAUAUCAGUCUUCACUGUAGCCU